Molecule: ribosomal RNA, 552 nt
Filed under: Triticum aestivum (bread wheat)
Lineage: Eukaryota; Viridiplantae; Streptophyta; Magnoliopsida; Poales; Poaceae
Description: partial small subunit ribosomal RNA
Source: RNAcentral
CGUUAUAAUCUGGAGGCUGCUUUAAUACAGUUACACCAUCAGGCUGAGAUUUAUUGGCGUCAACGGGGUACUCUAAACUGGACUCUAAAAGGCGACUCCCCUACGGCGUAUUUCUUUGCGAUCGCGAACGGCAGGCGUAGACGAUGUGGUAUUAAUAGCCUGCUCAUUAAUGGUGUGCGAUCUUCGGAGCAGUCUGUUAUUAUGGCUCAUGUGGUGGAUUUCUUCUCUUCGUUGUUGGGGGCUAAACCUCCAUCGGGCUUCUCCAUUUCUCCCUCCCUUUGGAACUUAGGUCUUAAAAUCUCACCCGAGGAGAAUGCCUCUUUGAUGAUCCCUCUUUCUGAUCAGGAAAUUUGGGAUGUUGUUAACACUGCCAAUCCUAAUGCUGCUUCUGGGCCAGACGGCUUCUCUAUUCCUUUCUUUCGAAAAUUCUGGCCCCAGUUGAAACAGCUGGUUUGUAAUGUUAUCCAGGGCUUCUGUCUUGGUACUGUCGAUAUCUCCCGCCUGAACUAUGCAGUGAUAACCCUGAUCCCCAAGGUUAAGGGUGCUGAUGUU